GCUGGAGCUGUCACUGGGGAAGGAUAAUGAAAGAGAGAGGAAACCUUGCCCAAGCACAGCUCUCAGACAUACAUUUCCAGGAAUACCGCGGAAUUAGGUUAAUUUCCAAGGCACUCUUCACGAGUUUUCCUUCCGAUCGAGUCCCGGUUUAGCGACAUGUUGCUGACGGCAGCAUUUCUGGGUGUUAAGAAGUGUCAGAAAGAAUCCUACAGUCGCCUAACACCCGCCUCGGGCCAGGUUGAAGAUUUUCACUCUCCUGAGCCGAGUCUUUCACCGUUGCUAGUCGUUACCCCAAUUGCUUUGGAACCCGCUUCACACCUUCUUCACCUGCGCCCGAGCCGCAUUUAGGUAGUUGGAACAGGGGACAAAGAAGAGACUCACCCGGGUUCCCCUCCCUUCCCCUCCCCUCCCACUUCCCUGGUUUCCGAAAGGAGCUCUUGGAAGACCCCGGGUUUGGGGAACAGAGCAUGUGUUUCAUGUGGGUUUAAGGAGACUAGAAGGACGGCAGAGCGGGACAUGAUUGGACUCAGAGCUGGGAGCUCUAGCGACAGGGAGAUCGUCCCGGGAAACCGGCAAGAAGGAAAGUAAUCCGUUUGAACAAUUCCUGAGUAUACGUGUAUAUAGGAAUCCAGCCGCAGAUGACAGUAACUGAGACUGUCUGCAAAAGGUGAAGAUGAAGAGGAAUUCAUGCUAAGUCCUGGUUUAGGGAAGAGCAGUUUGACUGGGUCCUACAUUUUAGGAAGCUCUUAGGAGACCCUGAAAACGACAGAAUGGGAUUUGGGCAUGAUAGUCUGAAAUAGUAUUUUGGCAAGAUACAACCUCAAUGAACCACCCUGGAACCAAGAACUAGAAGAUUUGAUGCACUGAGAUGAAAGUAAACCCGUUGGUCCUCUUUCUGUCAUUCCCUAGAAGUCUUAGAUUUUUUUUUUCUUUCUUUUUUUUUUUUAGUCAAAGAAAAGAAAGAACAGCUGUCCAAAUAUUGAAGUUAGUCACAAUGGGAUUCUGUGAUUAAAAGAAAAAAAAAUUGUGUACACAAUGUCAAAGGAAAGCCACAUUUUAAUAGAAAAUUUUCCUCACUUUGGAAGCCUCGUGGAUUGAUUUCAACAAGCAAUUGUCCCUAAAAUCCUUAAGAAAAACAGAACAGCAAUUGGGAAAUUAACAAAGGCUACUAGUAGUGUGCAGAAGAUGGGCAAAUGAGCAUACUGAUUUCACUGUUAUUUAAAGAAAUAAACUAUCUUAAAGCAAUAA
This is a long non-coding RNA of Ictidomys tridecemlineatus (thirteen-lined ground squirrel), 1248 nucleotides long. RefSeq lists it as uncharacterized. The record is from RefSeq and is a predicted model, not a curated record. Lineage: Eukaryota; Metazoa; Chordata; Mammalia; Rodentia; Sciuridae.